Molecule: ribosomal RNA, 253 nt
Filed under: uncultured prokaryote
Description: partial 16S ribosomal RNA
Rfam family: Bacterial small subunit ribosomal RNA
Source: RNAcentral
ACGUAGGUGGCAAGCGUUGUCCGGAAUUAUUGGGCGUAAAGCGCGCGCAGGCGGUCCUUUAAGUCUGAUGUGAAAGCCCACGGCUCAACCGUGGAGGGUCAUUGGAAACUGGGGGACUUGAGUGCAGAAGAGGAAAGUGGAAUUCCCGGUGUAGCGGUGAAAUGCGUAGAGAUCGGGAGGAACAUCAGUGGCGAAGGCGGCCAUCUGGGACAACACUGACGCUGAAGCACGAAAGCGUGGGGAGCAAACAGGA